UACGUAGGGUGCGAGCGUUAAUCGGAAUUACUGGGCGUAAAGCGUGCGCAGGCGGUUUUUUAAGACGGAUGUGAAAUCCCCGGGCUCAACCUGGGAACUGCAUUCGUGACUGGAAGGCUAGAGUGUGUCAGAGGGGGGUAGAAUUCCACGUGUAGCAGUGAAAUGCGUAGAGAUGUGGAGGAAUACCGAUGGCGAAGGCAGCCCCCUGGGAUAACACUGACGCUCAUGCACGAAAGCGUGGGGAGCAAACAGG
Molecule: ribosomal RNA, 253 nt
Filed under: uncultured bacterium
Lineage: Bacteria
Description: partial 16S ribosomal RNA
Rfam family: Bacterial small subunit ribosomal RNA
Source: RNAcentral